AUAGUUAAUCUUUCUAGUGUUUUUGUUUUAAAGAUAAACACUCUUGUAUAUGAUUUAGAUAUAUAAGGAUAAUUUGAAGCAGCAAAGUAUUUACCGCCUUUGUUCACAAUGGUAUGUAAAAUUACAUUCUCUUUAAAUGUUAAAAAUACUCCUUUAUUCAAAAUCUCUCAAUAUAUUUAGAAUAGUUGAUAAUUGGAAAUAUGACGUUAAUUAUCUUUCUUUGACCUGUUAGGGAGAAGACAACUUAUUCCCUAAGUUGGAUGUUGAAUUAUAUCUUUGUCAUCUUUUCACCAGUUUGCAAUAGGUGACCUAAAUGAUCAAUUUCCAAAAUCAUCAUGUAUAUCACCUGGAUGGGUUAAUCCAUAAUACUCUUUUACUUUCCAUUGACUGGCCUUGGCUCUGGCAAACUGAAUAUUUUUAUCAUUAUAAAUAAACUUUAUGAUAGUUGAAGUAAAGUUUCUGCCUGUCUUUCAGUUAAAUUUUAACUGUUGAAGU
Non-coding RNA from Pelobates cultripes (western spadefoot toad), 495 nucleotides. Lineage: Eukaryota; Metazoa; Chordata; Amphibia; Anura; Pelobatidae. The record is from the annotation of a GenBank genome assembly.